CACGUAUUAUGUAAUAUGUUUCAAGAACUUUAGCAUUUCUACUUUAUAACAAACUUUUUAGGACCUUACUUCUACGAACAGUUUACCCAAAGACUUACAAAGCUGUAUUAAGCUAUGAGUAACCAGGAAACCAAUACAGAUCCUAAAUAUUUCUACUCCCAAAUAGAUGUAAAUUUGACUAAGCUCGUGAUAUUAAUGGAAAAGGAAAAAGUAAGUGACGUCCCUAUAACACCAUCUGCAUAUACAUACAUAAAGGUAUUUGGGGAUAUUAUACAAAAAUACCGACGUACUUAUCGUACAUUAUAGAAUUCUAAUAGCACCAGUAACAGACAAAGUAAGGAACCGCUGUAAGAUCGUUCACACCGUACUACCGCGGAACUACCGCGUGCUUAUUGAUUUUCUAUUUUGAUUUUAUACUACCCUGACACAAAGAUAUCGCCGGUAAUUUGGUGGCUAGUGAGAUGUAGAAGAAAUUUUAAACAAAUUGAGUGAAAUCGUAAAUCAUGAUCAUUCACAUCAUCACUUACCUGUACAACAUCCGAAGACACUCCAUUCCUGUUAUGAGAGUUCAAAGAAGCGCAGUCUUCGCUAGGAUGAGGCAUUCUAGUGAGAAUAGAAUUACUGUGGAUUAUCUUGAGGAAGAACUUGGGAAACAAUAAUCAAUCGCUCACAAACAUCAGCUUUUACAUGUAACAUUCGUAAACGCAGUUAUGAAUGAAUGGGAAAUUACUAGUAAUGGAUGGACCGUGUCAAAUGGAGCACGUGGGCAUCUCAGCAUACACGGUUACGUAAACCUUAGCACUUUCUCUGGCACUCCUAGCUUAUUGAUUCUGUUCACAAUACAGCAAAUAAACGAAAAUAAUAGCUACAGUUUCAACGUGGCGAAAAUUCCUGAAAGCAUUUACUUGUACUUGUGUUUUUUUCACGUUAAAUAAAAUUGAACUCAAACUAA
Actinia tenebrosa (Australian red waratah sea anemone) is the source of this 952-nucleotide long non-coding RNA. RefSeq lists it as uncharacterized. Lineage: Eukaryota; Metazoa; Cnidaria; Anthozoa; Actiniaria; Actiniidae. The record is from RefSeq and is a predicted model, not a curated record.